This 253-nucleotide ribosomal RNA is filed under the name uncultured bacterium. Its description in RNAcentral is "partial 16S ribosomal RNA". It matches the Rfam family "Bacterial small subunit ribosomal RNA", at positions 524 to 776 of the family's 1533-position model. The record is from RNAcentral.
UACGUAGGGGGCAAGCGUUGUCCGGAUUUAUUGGGCGUAAAGAGCGUGUAGGCGGCCAGACAGGUCCGUUGUGAAAACUCGAGGCUCAACCUCGAGAUGUCGAUGGAAACCGUCUGGCUAGAGUCCGGAAGAGGAGUGUGGAAUUCCUGGUGUAGCGGUGAAAUGCGCAGAUAUCAGGAAGAACACCUAUGGCGAAGGCAGCACUCUGGGACGGUACUGACGCUGAGGCGCGAAAGCGUGGGGAGCGAACAGG